Molecule: long non-coding RNA, 1471 nt
Filed under: Dicentrarchus labrax (European seabass)
Lineage: Eukaryota; Metazoa; Chordata; Actinopteri; Moronidae
Description: lncRNA (ENSDLAG00005031515.1)
Source: RNAcentral
AUGCCUUUCCAACUCUGCGUUAAUACACCCACUGGAGAAGAAAAGAUUGUCGAUGUGUGCGACAAUAAAGAUCAGCUGAAGAACAUCACUGGAGAGCAAUUUAAAGAGAAUCUUCGUAAAGAACUGGGGAUAAAUGAAGACUUUCGUAUUAUUGUCAACGCCAAGCAGGUGGAGGAAGAGGCCACUCUGGACUCCACUGGGAUCAACCAUUUGUCCACAGUUUAUACAGUACCGAAACUGUCCGGAGGCACAUCUGAUGAAGAAUAAACCCCACAGGGUCUCAAGAAAGCCAUGAACCAUGUAUGAACAAAUCAAUUUUUCAUUUUUAAAGUCAUUAAGUUUCAUAUUUCUUUGCAUUGUGACUACAAGCUACUGUGUUGUCAAGCCAAUAUCAAAUCUUCUGUUAAGAAAAUUGAUACGGUGCCACAAAUCUGUAUUCCGUUUCUUUUAUGUAAAUGUGUCAUCUUCAUAUAAACUGACUGAAAACAAUGUGGUGUGUGAUAAUAACAUGUUAAUAAAUUCUACUUGUCUCACUUGGCGUCUUCAUAUUGUUCCUCACAGCUAAUAAUGAAACUUUAAUGAUAACAAAAAAUAUGACAAUGGGUGAAAAGUAGUGAGGUAUGAGCAUAUGCAAAAGGAAGCUAAAGCAAUGCAAUUUAAAAGUAAGGAUUAAAGAACAACAACAAGAGACUAUCAGGGAGGCACAGGCUUCAGUCACACAGAGACACUGAGUCACUUAACAGCUGAUGAAUGUGAAAUCAAUAGAAAGAGUGGGCAGUAUAAGGACAUUGAUUAAACUUAUUUAUCUUUUCAAAACAGGCAACACAGAUUCAGACAUAGAGAGAGAAUAAAUCUACAUAAAACUAAUAUUAUUACAUUUAAUAAACAGUAUAUAUAGUCCUCAACGUCACUUCUUUAAGUGCAUUGGCAGAUAAAGCUCAAGCAAAGUCAGAUUCAUUCACACCCACACAGAGUAUACUGAGAGCAACAGAUACAUAGAAUGAAACAAAUGAGGGAAUUAUAUUGGUCUAAUUUUGCUUUUGUGUUUUGACACCAAUAAAUGGGAAAUAAUAAUGUGGAAUUGUGGGAAAUAAAUCACAAUUUAUUUAAACCCCCCAACAGAGUCAUUAUAGUUUUGUAUUUUUCAUUACUUUUUAUUUUGUUUCAGUUUAGUUUCAGUGAGUUUUAGUUGAGUUUUUAUUGUUUUCAGUGUUCGUUAUAAUAUAGGGGGUAAAUGUCAGUGGCAAGAUUUAAAGAGUUCAGAAUAUUACUUGAAGAAAAGAAAGGGAAAAAAUGGACUCAGGUGAGUUAUAUAACAACUUACAGAUACCAUAAACAGAGUAUUUAGCUAUUAGAUACCAAAACUGUUGUUGAAACUUAAAAUGCCCAACAACCCUCAUUUGAGAUUAAACUUUAUAAAACAUUGCAGUUGCUGCUGGCAAGAUACACAAAUAAUGACAUUUAGCUUUUC